AGACUUGUAAGAACAUCAAUAAGAGUACCAAGUCCACUCUUAAAUAGAUGGUGGCAUGUAAAUAUCAAUUUUUUAACAGUCCCAAAUAUCCUAACGGUCUAACUUUUUUUCCAAGUAUACAGUCGAUUUCCAACAGAAAUUGAUGCUAAAUACAUAUUUACAUGAACAGUUACUAUAAGUUUAUUGACAAAGGAGAGUCGUGGAAACUGGCCAACUUGAAGAAACAAAGCAAGUUGAAAUUUUGAGCAUUUAAGCAGCUUCAGCAAAUCCAACUCUCGUGUUUCCAUAGUCAAAUACAGUAUGGUAGGAACCCAUGAAAACAUCCCCCAAGAUCCAGAGCGGUCCCCGUGGAGGCGGCACGUCCAAAGCUGCAAAUCCACUGAUGCAUUCAGUUACAGGUCCCUCGGUGACUUUGAGCACGUACUGCUCAGGCUUGAGCUCAAAGACCUUUCCACCAAUAGUAAAUGAAAUAUUAGGCAAGGUAGACAAGGAAUCACAAUCAAUUACUGAUUCUCCCAUUGGACUAGGCAACUUCUCGCAGAGCCCAUCUAUAUAAUUGAGAAUCUGGUCUUGUGUUUUCUCAUCCUUCAGCUGGCUUUGUGCCCAUACAACUGCCAUCUCACAAGCAUUGCACAUAACAUCACGCAAACCAUUCGAAGAUUUCUGGGUGGUGUUAUCGACAACGCUCUCAAUGCCCAU
Molecule: unclassified non-coding RNA, 699 nt
Filed under: Hevea brasiliensis (rubber tree)
Lineage: Eukaryota; Viridiplantae; Streptophyta; Magnoliopsida; Malpighiales; Euphorbiaceae
Source: RNAcentral